RNAcentral lists this long non-coding RNA (265 nucleotides) under Carica papaya (papaya). RNAcentral describes it as "long non-coding RNA (CPAP_LNC010145)". The record is from RNAcentral. Lineage: Eukaryota; Viridiplantae; Streptophyta; Magnoliopsida; Brassicales; Caricaceae.
GUCCUUGCCUCUCAAAGUGUGAAUGGUCUUUUAUUGAGAAUAUGAAAGGUCACCAUUUUGCGAUAACAAUCUAACUUGGCAUGGUAAUUUGUUAGCCAAUCCAUGCCAAGGAUUACAUCAAAAACUUGAAAAUCUAAGAGUAGGAGGUCUACUGCUAGUUGUCUAUCAGCUACCUUGAUAAUGCACGACUUAUACACUGCAUCCGAGAUUAAUGUGACAUUUGCAAAUGUUGUUAUUACUAAAAUAUGGUAGAAGGGUACAGGUU